CGCGGCAAGAAGUUCUGCGCUAUAACGAAAAAGGGGGGGUCUGUCACUGGCUUUGCCCUCGUGAUAGAGGGCUUUUUAUAACGG
This 84-nucleotide small RNA is filed under the name Salmonella enterica. Its description in RNAcentral is "Salmonella enterica sRNA STnc280". It matches the Rfam family "Salmonella enterica sRNA STnc280". RNAcentral also lists the same sequence under 1 other name. The record is from RNAcentral. Lineage: Bacteria; Pseudomonadati; Pseudomonadota; Gammaproteobacteria; Enterobacterales; Enterobacteriaceae.